GUGGGGAAUAUUGGACAAUGGGGGGAACCCUGAUCCAGCCAUGCCGCGUGUGUGAAGAAGGCCUUUUGGUUGUAAAGCACUUUAAGCGAGGAGGAGGCUACCGAGAUUAAUACUCUUGGAUAGUGGACGUUACUCGCAGAAUAAGCACCGGCUAACUCUGUGCCAGCAGCCGCGGUAAUACAGAGGGUGCAAGCGUUAAUCGGAUUUACUGUGCGUAAAGCGCGCGUAGGGGGCCAAUUAAGUCAAAUGUGAAAUCCCCGAGCUUAACUUGGGAAUUGCAGUCGAUACUAGUGUGCUAGAGUAUGGGAGAAGAUGGUAGAAUUGCACGUGUAGCGGUGAAAUGCGUAGAGAUCUGGAGGAAUACCGAUGGCGAAGGCAGCCAUCUGGCCUAAUACUGACACAGAGGUGCGAAAGCAUAGGGAGCAAACAGGAUUAGAAACCCGGGUAGUCC
Molecule: ribosomal RNA, 451 nt
Filed under: uncultured bacterium
Lineage: Bacteria
Description: partial 16S ribosomal RNA
Rfam family: Bacterial small subunit ribosomal RNA
Source: RNAcentral